GGCUAUAUAGCUCUGUCAGUUGAGCAUGGUGCUGACAACACCAAGGUCACGGGUUUGUUUCCUGUUCAGUCCC
Molecule: transfer RNA, 73 nt
Filed under: Apaloderma vittatum (bar-tailed trogon)
Lineage: Eukaryota; Metazoa; Chordata; Aves; Trogoniformes; Trogonidae
Rfam family: tRNA
About the family: Transfer RNA (tRNA) molecules are approximately 80 nucleotides in length.
Source: Rfam by way of RNAcentral